CCUACGGGGGGCUGCAGUGGGGAAUAUUGGACAAUGGGGGGAACCCUGAUCCAGCCAUGCCGCGUGUGUGAAGAAGGCCCUCGGGUUGUAAAGCACUUUCAGUGAGGAAGAACGCCUGGUGGUUAAUACCCAUCAGGAAAGACAUCACUCACAGAAGAAGCACCGGCUAACUCCGUGCCAGCAGCCGCGGUAAUACGGAGGGUGCGAGCGUUAAUCGGAAUUACUGGGCGUAAAGCGCGCGUAGGUGGCUUGAUAAGCCGGUUGUGAAAGCCCCGGGCUCAACCUGGGAACGGCAUCCGGAACUGUCAAGCUAGAGUGCAGGAGAGGAAGGUAGAAUUGCCGGUGUAGCGGUGAAAUGCGUAGAGAUCGGGAGGAAUACCAGUGGCGAAGGCGGCCUUCUGGACUGACACUGACACUGAGGUGCGAAAGCGUGGGUAGCAAACAGGAUUAGAUACCCUAGUAGUC
This 465-nucleotide ribosomal RNA is filed under the name Vreelandella stevensii. RNAcentral's name for it is "partial 16S ribosomal RNA". It matches the Rfam family "Bacterial small subunit ribosomal RNA", at positions 338 to 795 of the family's 1533-position model. Lineage: Bacteria; Pseudomonadati; Pseudomonadota; Gammaproteobacteria; Oceanospirillales; Halomonadaceae. The record is from RNAcentral.